Molecule: ribosomal RNA, 468 nt
Filed under: uncultured bacterium
Lineage: Bacteria
Description: partial 16S ribosomal RNA
Rfam family: Bacterial small subunit ribosomal RNA
Source: RNAcentral
GACGAACGCUGGCGGCGUGCUUAACACAUGCAAGUCGAACGGAAAGGCCCUGCUUUUGUGGGGUGCUCGAGUGGCGAACGGGUGCGUAACACGUGAGUAACCUGCCCUUGACUUUGGGAUAACUUCAGGAAACUGGGGCUAAUACCGGAUAGGAGCCCCUGCUGCAUGGUGGGGGUUGGAAAGUUUCGGCGGUUGGGGAUGGACUCGCGGCUUAUCAGCUUGUUGGUGGGGUAGUGGCUUACCAAGGCUUUGACGGGUACCCGGCCUGUGAGGGUGACCGGCCACAUUGGGACUGAGAUACGGCCCAGACUCCUACGGGAGGCAGCAGUGGGGAAUAUUGCACAAUGGGCGGAAGCCUGAUGCAGCAACGCCGCGUGCGGGAUGACGGCCUUCGGGUUGUAAACCGCUUUCGCCUGUGACGAAGCGUGAGUGACGGUAAUGGGUAAAGAAGCACCGGCUAACUACGUG